This 5405-nucleotide ribosomal RNA is filed under the name Triticum aestivum (bread wheat). RNAcentral's name for it is "partial small subunit ribosomal RNA". Lineage: Eukaryota; Viridiplantae; Streptophyta; Magnoliopsida; Poales; Poaceae. The record is from RNAcentral.
ACAGCAGGUCGCUCGCCCACACACUGUCAAGUUCAACUCCCCGCUCCGCUCCCCCAAAGAUUCCAAAUUUUCCCAAAUCGCUCGCCUCAAUCGCCCGCGCCCCCGCCGAAUCCCCAGAUCCCCACCUCCUCCCGCGCGCCCCGCCCCCCAGCUCCGCCCAAUUCUAGGGUUAACCGCCCGUACGCCAGCUCCCCACCGCCAGAUUAGGGUUUCCAUUUCGCAUUCCGCCCUCCCGGAGCUCGCGGUUCCGGGCGAUUGGAGCCGGAGGGGAGCGUCCGGCCGCGGCGAGCUGCGGGUUCACUCUCCCUAGGGCCUGGAUUUCCGGCGGCAGGGGGGAUGUCGUGAACGCCGGAGCUUGCUUGCUCUUCCCCGUCCGUCGGGGAGCUGAGGUGAGCUGAGCUGAGCUCAGGCUAGGCUAGGCUAGGGUUUCGUGCUCCGUUCCGUCUGAGUGCUGCGGAGGGGAGCCGGAGAUGUUCUACUCCCAGUUCAUCUUGGCCAAGAAGGGCCCGCUCGGGACCAUAUGGAUCGCCGCGCACUUGGAGCGUAAGUUGCGCAAGAACCAGGUCACGGACACGGACAUCGGCGUCUCCGUAGAUUCAAUUAUAUUCCCUGAGGUUCCAAUUGCGCUGCGGUUGUCCAGCCAUCUUAUGGUAGGCGUGGUCAGAAUCUAUUCUCGGAAGGUCAACUACUUAUUUCAUGAUUGCAGUGAAGCCUUGCUCAAGAUAAAACAAGCAUUUAGGUCUGCGGCUGUUGAUCUCCCCCCUGAAGAAUCAACUGCUCCAUAUCAUUCUAUAACACUCCCUGAGACAUUCCAUCUUGAUGAUUUUGAGUUACCGGAGGCUGAGUUUCAGGGGGACAUUGAUCAUCAUGUAAGCUCAAAAGAACAGAUUACCCUGCAAGACAACCCAGAGAGAACAGGAUAUUCAACAUCUGAAUUUGGUUUAGAUGAAAGAUUUGGUGAUGGCAGUUCUUCACAUAUGGGUUUCGAUUUGGAGGAGGAAUUAUUGCUGGCGAAGGAUGAUCCAAUUCAACUCGAAUCUGGUGAUGGUAUCCUCAUUCAAGGUCAAUCAUCACUUCAUCCUACUGAUAUGGAUGUUGACGAUAACCCAAGUAAAGAUGAAGAGGCUGAAGCAUAUAACAAAAUGGAUGAUGAACCUUCUAGUUCCAGCAAGCAAAAUCAAUCGAAUGCAGAUGAUUUAAGAAACAAUAUUCCUAACUGGACUGGUUACAAUUUGCGUACCCCUGAUUUGAAUGAUAUGCUUUUCCACAAUGAAGGUGACGCGGGGCCAUCUUCUUCAUACUACCAGCCUAGUCCCUUCCCUUGUGAUGAUCCUGCAUCUCCUGCCUCUCCUGCCUCUCCUGAGUUUGUAAGCGCUCAAGCCCCGGCUACACCUGGCUUAAUGGAAGAAACAGUUCCUUCCAGAGUGCAUGAAAGUCCUGUUCUGAGUCCGCAGCGGAAAGCUUCACCAUCAAGCAACGAGGAAACUGCAAAGAUCGACAAUUUUGCUGCUCCGCCCUCAGAUUUUCUCCAUUCAGCUGCAGCAAAUGCUAAUGAUGCUGGGAUGGCUGAAUUUGGAUUGGCUAAGCCUGUGCAAGUUGAGUCUUCUGGUGCCGCACAGGAGAAUCCUGCCGCUCCAUCCUCAGAUUUUCUCCAUUCAGCUACAGCUAAUGCUAAUGAUGCUGUUGGUGCUGAGAUUGCUGAGUUUAGCUUGGUUAAGCCUGUGCAAGUUGAGUCUUCCGAUGCAGCACAGGAGAAUCUUGCCGCUCCAUCCUCAGAUCUUUUCCAUUCAGCUGCAGCAAAUGCUAAUGAUGCUGUUAGUGCUGAGUUUGCUGAAUUUGGAUUGGCUAAGCCUGUGCAAGUUGAGUCUUCUGGUGCUGUAGCUCCACCCUUGGAUUUUCUCCAUUCAGCUGCAGUAAAUGCUAAUGAUGCUGUUGGCGCUGAGAUGUCUGCAUAUAGAUUGACUAAUCCUGUGCAAGAGAAUUUUGCUGCUCCACCCUCAGGUUUUUUCCAUCCAGGUGCAGCACAUGCUAAUGAUACUGUUGGUCCUGAGAUGACUGAAUUUAGAUUGGCUAAUCCUGUGCAAGUUGAGUCUUCUGGUGCUGUACAGCAUAAUUUUGCUGUUCCACCCUCAGAUUUUCUCCAUCCAGGUGCAGCACAUGCUAAUGACGCUGUUGGUUCUCAGAUGGCUGAAUUUAGAUUGUCUGAGCCUGUGCAAGUUGAGUCUUCUCGUGCUGUACGGGAGAUGGAUUUUCUGAGGCAACACUCUGCAACUGUGGAUAUGCCACCAGAACCACAAACAUCAAACCUGGUGGCUACUGUUGAUAAAUUGGUGGUAAAUACUGAGGAUAUAGCUGUAUCAGGUCAAACACUGCCUUUUAAAGCAACCAUGGGAAGUGUGCCAUUUGUUCAGAAUACUUCAGAGCCACGCGCUAAUGGUUCUACCGAGACAUACAUGACAGGGAAUCCAACACAUUUCAAUGAGGGGUCAGUAAACAACAUGCAAGGGUAUAAUUUUCUUACUUCUAAUGUAUCUGUAGAGCCAUACCCUAGUGGUUCUACCGAGCCAUGGGUGACAGGGCAACAACAACAAAGCUUCUUGUCCCAAGCAAGUUGGGGUAGGCCUAGUGGUCCUACCGAGCCACACGUGACAGGGCAUCCAACACAUUUUAAUGAGGGAUCAGUAAAUGUGCAAGGGUAUAAUCUGCAUGCUCCUAAUGUGUUUCUCGGACAUAACUUACAAGAAAUGCCACCAGGAAUGACACACAGUAAUAUAUCAACUGCAGCUUUCCAACAGAACACUGGAACAACACCGCAAUACAUGUCAUAUAAUGAUAGACCAAAUGACAUGUUCAACUCACAUUUCCCAGAACGCGAGAGAAUGCUCUCAGCUCCAUAUAUUGGAUUCCACCAGACAAAUGAUCUGGGGCAGUUAACUGCAGAGAAAGGAAUCACUGAAUCUGAUGGAAGUAACAAAAUAGGUAGCCUUAGUAGCAGAAAACGUCACUUGGAGGAUAGCAUGCCAGCUCCAGAGAGUAGGACUACUGAAAAUUUGUCCAGCAGACCACAUGGUCAAAGAACCACCGAUGCUAUUCCUAACGAUGAUGAUAUACUGGCAUCCAUUUUAGUUGGUAGAAGAACCCCUGGAUUGGUGCUUGAUUCAACACCAUUACCACCUAAUGCAUCAACUUCAAAACGCCAAAGGUUGACACCGAAGACCGCAUUGACACCCAAGACCAGGACACCCAAGAGAAGAGUGAAAAUGGAUGAUGCCAUGGUUAUACAUGCUGAUAUUAUACGACAGCAGUUGAUUAGUACUGAGGAUAUAAGGCGCAUCCGUAGAAAGGCUCCAUGCACCCGUACUGAAAUAUGGAUGAUCGAGAAAGGUUCACUUGAAGAUGAUAUAUUCCGCGAGCCUAUAUUUUCCUGUAUGCACAAGGACCUGAACGAUUUACACUAUCGAACCUAUGAGUCUGUUUCUCAAUUCACCGUACAUAACAGGGAACAUCAACGACAAGUAGACAUGUCUGAAACUAUCCCAGCAGAUAACAGCAAUGUUGGCAUCUCUGGUGCAGAGGAAAGUGCAGCUCUUGAUCACCAACUUCAUAUGGUGCUACCAGAUACCAACAACGUUGACAUCUCUGGUGCAAAGGACAGUGCAGCUCCUCAUGACCAACUGAAUAUGGGACUACCAGAUGGAGCUCACAACGUUGGCAUCUCUGGUGCAAAUGACACUGCAGCUCAUGAUCACCAACUAAACAUGGGACUACCAGAUGGAGCUCACAACGUUGGUAUCUCUGGUGCAAAUGACAGUGCAGCUCUUGAUCUGGGACUACCAGAUGGAGCUCACAACGCUGGCAUCUCUGGUGCAAAUGACAGUGCAGCUCUUGAUCACCAACUUCAUAUGGGACUACCAGAUGGUGCUCAAUUAGAUGCUACACCACAAGAAGCAACUGAUACAGUUGACGCUACAGCUUCAUUUGGUUUGCAAAUGCCAUCUGAUGAACGUGAUAACAACAUUGAAAAAGUAACUGAGUUUGGUGCCGGGAAAGAAAUCCCACUUGUUGACGAAACAAAUGCUGCUGCAAACAUUACUGCUCAUGUUGAUACACUGGAUAAGGAUUGCCAUCAAGAUGCUUCAGCAGAUAUGCAGAGGAAUACAAAUGCUGAUACACCUCUCUUUGUACAAGAUGACAUAACCCAUGAUUCUGCUACUAUAACAGAUGCUCCAGACGUUGCUUUGCAUAGUUCUGGUCCAGCUUGUGCGCAAGACUACCGGGAAGGGGAAUUGAGUGACAUUGUUCGCAGUGAUAUUAAUACUUUUGAGGAUAAGGAGAUGCCCACCUCUGAGAUUACUGGACUAGAAUUCACUGAACAUGCCUCUGGUUUUCCUCAACCAACAGAGGAUGAGAAUGCUGUGUCGGCCAUGGGAGAAAAUUCUGGCUUUCAAGGAAACAAUGCAGGAUCCUUCACGGACAUGAACAACACGGAGCAUGACUUCACGGACAUGGACAACACUGGGCAUGACUUUGCACUGAAGGAAUGCAGUGAUUUUGGAAGUGCAAUUCAUGGUGUCGACACAGAUUUUCUACCCUAUGAUGAUGAUGGGGACUUUGAUGAGGCAAUUGAUCUUGAUGAUGAUGAUGAUGAGCCAAAUCCUGACGAAUUCCAGUCUCAUGAUGCACUUAGUGGCUGGUCUUCUCGUACCAAGGGUGUUGCAAGAUAUCUCAAGACUCUAUUCGAUGAAGAGUCUGGUCGGGGGAGAAAGAAUGUUGUCAUUGAUCAUCUGGUAAAUGGAAAGUCUAGGAAAGAAGCCUCAAGGAUGUUCUUCGAGACCUUGGUCCUGUCGACGAAGGACUACAUUCAAGUGGAGCAACCAAUUCCCUUUGGUUUAAUAAACGUGAAGCCAGUGUCCAAGCUCCUGAAGACAGAUUUCUAGACCGAGACCGCCCUAGCAAAAGUGGCAUGAUAUACAUACAUCUUACAAUAUCUGUCACAGCAACGUCAACAACAUACAGAUUGCCUUCAUCUUCAUCGCCGUCGUCAUGACUUGCCCCCCGUUUUUCGUUGUUUGUUGUUAAAUUUAUCCCCCUCCGUAGUAGUAUGGUGUCCCCCCGCACUAAUCUGUGCCUAGCAGAGCUGAAGUAGUAGGGCUGUGUUGUUGUGCUCCAUCCAUCCAUGUCAGUGUACAUAUAUGAUUAGCCCGUGUAAAGUUAAGUUUCAUAUGUCGUGUAAUGUGGUAGUGUCGUUGGCUCAGAAGUUAUUGACUGCCUGUCGUUUCCUUGAACAGUCCUUGGGAACUGUAUGCAUCUGGAUCUGUUGGACUGCUUGUAUUUGGAAGUUUUCCUCAAGUUUCAGUACUGAUGAAUUUUACUGUCUUGAUACAAUUUGGCAAGAACUUUCUCUG